CAGUCUUCAUUUUAAAGGCAAAACCUAAGAAUUAUUAUUUGUUAUUAAGUGGAACGAAAGAGAGAAAGAUGCUAGCUCAAUGGGGGUCACCGCUGGAGGGGGGAUCAGGAGGGCAACAGUGGCCUGCCUACAACCCACCACCCUCCAGCCAAGAGCAAGAGGGGUCCUCACUAAAGACAAUGGCACCUCUGAUCCAAGAAGAAGGUCCUCCUCUGUCCAAAACACAUAUACACACUUUCAAACUGAAAAGGAGUGAGAGAGAAGUCUCUGGGCACCUCCUGUCUCCUGGGGAGAGGAUGGUAGUGCACAUGGGUUAUGCUGGGGUAAGAAAUGGGUAAAGGAACAAAGGUGACGGAGCCGAUGCGUGAGGGGCUAAUGGCCACAGAGCCAUCUCAGCAUCCCCAGUACCUUUGGGUAGAGACACAAACUCUCUGGUCCUUUCUGCCCUGUCCCCUCCCACUGCUACCAGCAUAAUGUGUGGGGUGUCCCCUGCCAUGCCAGCCAUUGCAGAGACCCCGGAUAUUGCUGACCAGGUGAAGUCUCACAUUAUGAGAAAUAAAUUAAGAAAUUCCCUAUUUUUAAGGCUAUGGUAUUCAAGAACCAGGUGGUCGCAGGGACAACCCUCAAGGUUCACACUGGUGAUGAUCACAUCAUACGCUUCCAAGUAUUUACAAGUCUCCCUCAUGAAAACAAGCCCUUGCCCUCAUCUGACUACCAGGCAAAGGCCAACAGGACAAGCUGCUGUAUUUCUAAUUCCUGAUUUUCAAGAGGGCCUUUCAUCCAUAUGACUAAGACUUAAAAAAAAUUCUCUGCUGUUUGAAGCCAUGUAUCUGGGAACAUAUAAUAAACGCCAUCUAUAGGCUGUGCUGCUUGUGGUGGGAGGGGCAUAGUAAGCGGCUUCUCUCGUACUACAGUUCCUAAAUAUUAGUGUAUUUUUCCCUCCCAAUCAAUGAUCUCAAUUACUUUCAAAGAAGGCUAUAUAUCAUCUUUAAAUAUUUAUUUAAGUCUUUAAAAAAAAAAAAAAAAAAAAGCAAAACCCAACUCCUCACCCUGGCAGGCUUUGGAGGUGCCCCAGAAUGUCAACUUCAGCCUCUUCACUCCCAGGCCUUCCUUGCCCUGUCCUCUUCCCCGAUGCCCUCCUGUCCAGCUACCAGUAGUUCCACUGUCACCUGAAUGUACCGCUCCCUGUUUUCCACAGUGCCUUCGAUACGCUAUUUCUUUUAUCUGAAAUUGAAAUGUCUUCCAGGCCCCCCUUUGCAGUUGCUAUCCAUUCUGCAGAAGCCUCUUCCCACCUCUCCCCCACCCCACUGACAGUCUGACUGGAUAUGCAGUCAUGAGUCCAACAUCUUAUUUAUGACUUAUCUUCUGCUGUGUCCCUGAAUAGUGAUUUUAUUCUUGUAAUGUUGUUUCAACUUUCUGUUUUGUUUUUUUUUUUUUUUUGA
This is a long non-coding RNA of Sapajus apella (tufted capuchin), 1442 nucleotides long. RefSeq lists it as uncharacterized. The record is from RefSeq and is a predicted model, not a curated record. The transcript is spliced from 2 exons. NCBI's taxonomy places the organism in Eukaryota, Metazoa, Chordata, Mammalia, Primates, Cebidae.